This 359-nucleotide unclassified non-coding RNA is filed under the name fungal sp. RNAcentral's name for it is "partial internal transcribed spacer region". The stretch from base 1 to 46 matches the Rfam family "Eukaryotic small subunit ribosomal RNA", at positions 1786 to 1831 of the family's 1831-position model. Lineage: Eukaryota; Fungi. The record is from RNAcentral.
AAGUCGUAACAAGGUUUCCGUAGCUGAACCUGCGGAAGGAUCAUUAACACGUAUCCAACGUUAAAACAACCCCGUGAACUUUCAGCUUGCUCGCCCGUGACAGCAGCAAUCCCUGGUAAAUCAUUGUUGAGGACCUCUGCCGAUAGUGAUAUUUUAUAGUUACGGUUGAGCGAUUGCAUCUGACCUGGCAUCCCCGUGUCUGAAAGUGUCAUUGAUUAUGAGGAUGGCGCAGUCACGAUCGCUGUAGGCCCACACGCCGGCGACCGGAUCACGCCCCUUUACGACAACUACAGUCUAACUUCGAAAUUCGCACGGCACCAAAAACCGAACAACUGUUAACAAUGGAUAUCUUGAUUCUC